GCUCAGGUUCCUAUGAGAUGUCUUUAACUAUUGAUGAAGGAUGAACUCUCAUAGAGAUUAUAACCAUCGCUAUAAUUGUUGUUUAUAUUGUCAGCUGGGCAGCCUGUGAAUUAAAGCUGCACAAGCAGAGGAAAGAAGACAGUGGAAGCUGUAUGGCCAUCUGAAAGCCUGGGCAUUUCCUCUGAGGAGCAGCUAGCAGCUGGCAUGCAUGUCCCAGGAUAAACUGGGUGGCUCCAUGUUCUGCUAAAAAUUGAAGACAAUGGAUGUUGGUGGACAACUAGCAGCGUUUCUGCCAAGCUGGCUCAAUUAGACUAAAGGGAAAGACUUAGUCUAUAAGCUUGUUUCUCUUUCCUCUCACGCUGGAUAUGAAUAAGAAAGCAAGUAAUGCUAGUCACAGCCAUCUUUAAGGGAGAGGGAAAUAAAUUUCCAUUUUGUUUCAGACAACUUAUAAGCAUAAAAAGACCCAGUCUUAAAAGGAAACUGAUACUGUGGACAGCAGAGCAGACAGAACCCGAGCUCCUGCUGACAAGACUGAGCCACUGAAUCCACCCACCAAGAAGCCUGCUUUACCUCUACACGACCUACUUUCUGGGAGAAAAGAUGCCCUUAUCGUUUAAGCCACUUUGGUUCAGUCUCUUUUUCCUGUAGCUGAAAAUAUCUUAAUAGAAUUCCUUACAGGCCUCCCGACGCACACAAUCUGUUAUAAUCGCCCUCAGCAAUCUCUUCUCCUUCACAGCACUUAUUACGAUUUUGAAUCAUCGAUUUGUUACCUGUUUGAAGUCUAUCUCUGCACUAGGCUAUGGGCCAUGAGCAUCGAGACUAGAUCUGUUUUGUUCACUACUGUACACCUAGUAAAUGGAAUAAGACGACUAACAGGAUGCUUGGCACACAGGAGGCUUGUAAGUAAAUGGUAGCUAUCAUAAAAAUGAUGUUGACAAUAAGCCUCACUCAUUCAAAGAGAUCGCUUCUCGCAGAGGCAGAGCCACGGUCACGGGAAGCAAUGGCGGAGGACAGCUUGGGGAAUCACCCUCUCCUUUAUUCUUCAGGUUUUUGUCAUAUACUAUUUAUUAUUUCAGCCAUGUCUGACAUCUGUUUUGUAGCUUUGGUGUGACCUCAAAUUUGAAUAUGGGACCACUUCUAUCUAGAGCUUGGUCUGAAAAGGAGUGAUGGCAGAGCUGAGAGCAAAGAUGACAGUCACAGCUGCAGCUUCUGUGGUUGUGCUGUGGCUUUCAUUCGGGCAUCCCAGGAGUGCUGAGUGCAGAAACAGGACCAGACGAGUUCGAACAGCCUCUUCUGUCACAUUAGUGUUGAAGCAAGGUCUUCCCAAACAGCCAAGACCUUGACUUCUGAUCUGCAGAGGCCAUCCUAUGCACAUGCAGCCUUCAGACACAUGGCUUUCCUCCUAGGCAUGUUUCUGGAUAAGUUUUCUUUUUUCCUACUCUUUUCCCCACCUCCCAAACCUUUCUGCCAUUCUUUUACGUCAGGUAAUAUAAAAUAAUUUAAAUAAUUAACUUAAUAUGUUCAUAUCUACAGGUAACCUCUAAAGUCUUUUACAUUCCACUCUGAAAUGUACUUUUAAAGUCUUCUUUCUGGUUCAUACACUUGGUGUUUCUUCCUAUUACCUAUGGCAUUAAAUUUUAAUUAAUAUUUAUCUCAAUGCUCUAUCUAAAUGUGAUUACUACAUAAAAGUUUG
Equus asinus (donkey) is the source of this 1693-nucleotide long non-coding RNA. NCBI's taxonomy places the organism in Eukaryota, Metazoa, Chordata, Mammalia, Perissodactyla, Equidae. The record is from Ensembl.